This 207-nucleotide unclassified non-coding RNA is filed under the name Hevea brasiliensis (rubber tree). Lineage: Eukaryota; Viridiplantae; Streptophyta; Magnoliopsida; Malpighiales; Euphorbiaceae. The record is from RNAcentral.
GGAUACGUCACAAAAUGAGGAAUUAUAAGAGAAGCCAUAUGAAAAAUGUGAAGAGAAUGAAGACACUGUAAAGCAGAAAAUGCUACUCAACUGCUUCUUCAAGUCUCACAAUCUCAAACUUAGGUUUAUAUGUCAAAUCAACAAUCUGAUCCCACAGUAGUGGGAUUGACCCUCUGACCUGAACAAAUGAUGCAGUACAUCCAUUCA